AGUGCUUUAUUGUGUGCAGCAUCUACAUUCAGCAAUUUAACGCUCUGCAAGGAGAUGCUAAAAGCCCCUGUAGAGAUACAUUGAUUCAGUGCAGCUGAGGAGAUGCUGAUUGGCGCAGCAUGUCAUUUUGCCAAGCAAUAGCCUCACAAUGCUUUCCAAGGGAAAGUAUUUCAUUGGCUGAUAUUGGCAAGACCAGGGCGCAAUGGAGAAAAAGGUAUGUAAAAUAACUUUUUUUUUUUAUAUUCUAUUCUGAGGGGGCUGGACACCUAAAUAGGUAGUCCAACACUAUAGUGUCAGGUUUUGUAUUACAGGUAGUCCUCAUUUUACAACUUAGCUGUUUAACGAUGACUCAGACUUAGGACCAGGCAUUUAAGGAAUUCCCCACGUUAGAGAGCUAGUCUAUGUUCAAGGAAACUUCCCUGACAGACCUGCAGUGUAGCGCAUCCUCCCUUA
Pelobates cultripes (western spadefoot toad) is the source of this 453-nucleotide non-coding RNA. The record is from the annotation of a GenBank genome assembly. Lineage: Eukaryota; Metazoa; Chordata; Amphibia; Anura; Pelobatidae.